AAAACAGAAAAUUGUGCAAUCUGCAAAAUGCGCUCGAAGGAAACAAACAACAAAAUCAACAAAAUACAGUAUUUGUUACAGGGGAGCGCCAAUGAACUGAAGGUUCAGGGGAGGGAGCGACGGAUGGGAGUGGAGUGGCGACGACUGGAAGAAAUAGAACUUAAUUAGUGGAAAAUACGACGCACCGAUGUUGUUGAUAUGUGAAGAGAGAGAGGAUGGGGAGAAGCUAUAAGAGCUGUAGAGAGGGGCCAUCUAAAUGUCACCCAUAGUACCAUUAGGAAGUCUAAUUCGAUUCUGAUACACUAGCGCAAUAUAUUUAGAAGAUUCCAUCAUAAGAAAGGAAGUGCUCUCACAGAGAAGACAGAAGUGGGAACUUCUAGAGUUCACCUGAGGUUAAUUCUGAAUGGAUAAGGUAUUGGGUUGCUCUAUAAUUUUAUCUUUAAAUAUAUUAGCUUGGAGUAUAUAAUACAACGUAUAAUAUAAACUACAUGAUUCGAAGUACAAAAGAAUUCUUAAAUCAGUAUGCUUUUCAGUACAAUAUCAUAUUAAAGAAUUAUAGGUUUGUUGGACUUCCUGUCAGGUUUCUUUCAUUUGUCCUUCUAAUUUCUUUCAGUGCAUAGGAAAUAUUAAAUUUUAAGUUCACUUUUUUUUGCCUUGUUUUUGUGCUUGUGUCAUGUCGCCGCCUUGCCCCCAAAACGCCAUCCAUACAACACAUCAUCUAGAUUCGAGAACUUUGACUAUUUAUACGCACGCGCCCCUUUUUUUGUCCCGAGGGCUCUGCCGUGAAAAGCGUGAAAAUCGGUAGAGCGAGAUAGAUGCAUCGUUCACAUGUAUGUACAUAUGUAUGAACCAUAUGUAUAUGCAACUGCAACAUAUCUUCUAUUUUCGGCUGCGCUCUCAGAGCGUGACAAUUAUAAGAGAUUAUCAGGAUGUUGAGGGCAAGUCAGAGUCGAGACGCGUGGGCGACCACAAACGAUGCCGCCCACAACCCCAGGGCGCCUCUCCCUACCGCCUUGUACCCCGCAUCCUCUUGUCCCCCAGAGCAGGAGAAGUUGUUGGUUCGAUAAAAUAGAUAUAAAUAACCGAGUAUGUCCCGGCCCCAAGUUCAUUACUCCCUCCCCCAUGCCUCUCGCUUUUGGCACGUGCAAUAAUGGUUGUUUUUUCGUAUUUUAUAUUUUUUUUGUGGAUUCUCCUGCAUUCAAGGCGUCUUGCAUAAGAGAGAUCGAUGGAUGGAUGGGUGACGUCAUCUGCAGUCAGAGUCUGAACGGAUGCUGCUCGCUAUUGUGAUUUAUAGCAGCGACAAAUGGGGAUCGUAUGGUCCGACCAGAAAAGAUCGCUCCUCAAAAGUGCAUUCGCAUUUCAAUUCAAGACAGAAGCACAGCCACACAGCAAGAUACGAAAAAGAGCAGACGAAAGAUACUCAGAAAAGGAAAGAUGAAUAAAAGGAGUAAAACGAAUGUGGAAUACACUGCACAAUAAAGAAAGAGAUCAAGAAAGACAGAAAAUCAAAUUUUAGCGUGGUUUUACUUAGGCUCAACGAGAUAUCCACCGACUGAAGAUGACUAUAUCUUUUUUAUAUAUCUUCGGAAAAUUUCAUGAGCUACCUAAUAGACUCUCUAAAAAGUUCUGUCCUCAUCAGUUCAGCCAAAUGUGUCGCCUCCAACUCCCCUCCCAGCUGUUUAUUUAUGUGAACCGCCUGCAACACCAAAUGUUGCUGAGCUCGCCAAAUGUUGCUGCUGCCGUUGUCACAUGCAACUCCGAUGGCGGUUACCUUUUUUGGCGGACUUAUGCAACUUAUUCAAUACCAGUCGUGGAUCCAAUUCCCACUGUCCAGGAAACGAUCCACUUUGAUGUCUAGUCUUUAGGCUGAUUGACUGAUGGCCCGAAAGGAAGUCGCGCCAAAGACUACUUCAAUUUAGAAAUUCGAAUAUAUUCAAAUGGGGGGAAUUGGCAGUCAUUCUGCCCGACUUCAGAGUGGAAUGAAUGACGGUCUAAGCAGCCAAGGGUUCAGCAACAUUUGGCGGCGGAACGGGCGGCAGUGUCGGCAGCGGCGACGGCUUUAAAUAAAUCAGCCGUAAAGACAAGACAAACAAGAAAGGAAGUCCAAAGACGAAUACCGAAGCUGUUGAUACUCUUACACAUAUACAAAUGGGCAUGGCUGUAUUGACAUGAUCUGCUAUAUUGAUCAAGAUAUACCAUAAUUUAUGAUUUCAUCUCUUUGUGGCAAAUAUCUGCUCAAAACCACAAUACCCUCACCAAGCGAGAACGAAGAGAAGGGGAAACAGACAACCCAGAGCAGAAAAGGAGGGAAUAAGUUGGAAAAGAAUGGUGGCCUUUGUUGCUGGUAGCAGCUACACCCACACCCACCCACCCACACCGCAGCUAAAGCCAAAACUGGAGUGCAACUAUUUUUAAUUCCAUGCAAAAUGUGCACGGCAACAUGUUGCCGACAAGUCGCACAGUGGAUAUCAGGUGGCCCAAAUCAAAAAUCCUAUGAGCGGUUUGGAUAUUAAGAAUAAUAUUCA
This is a long non-coding RNA of Drosophila pseudoobscura, 2525 nucleotides long. RefSeq lists it as uncharacterized. NCBI's taxonomy places the organism in Eukaryota, Metazoa, Arthropoda, Insecta, Diptera, Drosophilidae. The transcript is spliced from 3 exons. The record is from RefSeq and is a predicted model, not a curated record.